AAAAGACAGUGGUAGGGGAGCGUUCUGUAUGGGGUGAAGUCGCAGCGAGAGCAGCGGUGGACUGUACAGAAGUGAGAAUGCCGGAAUGAGUAGCGAGAAUUAUGUGGGAAUCAUAAUGGCCGAAAAUCUAAGGUUUCUUGGGGAAGGUUCGUCCGCCCAAGGUAAGUCGGGAGCUAAGCUCAGGCCGCGAGGCGUAGGCGAUGCACAUACGGUAGAAAUUCCGUAACCACCGAACUUUAAGCAUGAGGGACACUUUGAGAUAGCGGAACCCGGGCGUUGGUUGACCCGGGCGAAAGGGACCGAAAUAUAGUAGGGAAGUCCGUGAUGCUCGGAGGCGAGAAAAGCUCAUGUGUAUACUAAGGUGCCCGUACUGCAAACCGACACAGGUAGAUGAGGAGAGAAUCCUAAGGCCAACGGGAGAAGGGUUGUUAAGGAACUCGGCAAGAUGACCCCGUAACUUCGGAAGAAGGGGAGCCUCGAAAGAGGCCGCAGUGAAUAGGCCCGAGCAACUGUUUACCAAAAACACAGGUUUAUGCUAAAUCGAAAGAUGACGUAUAUGAGCUGACGCCUGCCCGGUGCCGGAAGGUUAAGAGGAGAUGUCAACCGCAAGGUGAAGCAUUGAAUUGAAGCCCCGGUAAACGGCGGCCGUAACUAUAACGGUCCUAAGGUAGCGAAAUUCCUUGUCAGGUAAGUUCUGACCCGCACGAAAGGCGUAAUGAUUUGGGCACUGUCUCAACAGCCCGCCCGGCGAAAUUGUAGUACUGGUGAAGAUGCCAGUUACCCGCAACUAGACGGAAAGACCCCAUGGAGCUUUACUGCAGCUUAAUACUGGAAUUCGGUAAAUCAUGUACAGGAUAGGUGGGAGACAGGGAAGCAUUGGCGUCAGCCAGUGUGGAGUCGCUGGUGGGAUACCACUCUUGAUUUGCUGGGUUUCUAACCUGCGGCCGUGAAUCCGGUCGGGGGACACUGUUAGGCGGGCAGUUUGACUGGGGCGGUCGCCUCCAAAAGAGUAACGGAGGCGCUCAAAGGUUGGCUCAGCACGGACGGAAAUCGUGCAAUGAGUGUAAACGUAUAAGCCAGCCUAACUGCGAGACCGACGGGUCGAGCAGUAACGAAAGUUGGAGUUAGUGAUCCGGUGGUAUGUGAGUGGAAAUGCCAUCGCUCAACGGAUAAAAGCUACCCUUGGGAUAACAGGCUGAUCUCCCCCAAGCGUCCACAGCGACGGGGAGGUUUGGCGCCUCGAUGUCGGCUCGUCACAUCCUGGGGCUGUAUUCGGUCCCAAGGGUUCGGCUGUUCGCCGAUUAAAGUGGCACGCGAGCUGGGUUCAGAACGUCGUGAGACAGUUCGGUCCCUAUCUGUUGCGGGCGAAAGAGAUUUGAAGGGAGCUGUCCUUAGUACGAGAGGACCGGGAUGGACGUACCUCUGGUGCACCAGUUGUCCUGCCAAGGGCAUAGCUGGGUAGCUAUGUACGGACGAGAUAAACGCUGAAAGCAUCUAAGCGUGAAACUCCCCCUAAGAUGAGAUCUCUCAUCCUUCAUGGAGUAAGGGCCCAGGAAGACUACCUGGUUGAUAGGCAAGAGGUGGAAGCGCAGUAAUGUGUGUAGCUGACUUGUACUAAUAGCCCGAGGGCUUGACCU
Molecule: ribosomal RNA, 1637 nt
Filed under: metagenome
Description: bacterial LSU rRNA
Rfam family: Bacterial large subunit ribosomal RNA
Source: RNAcentral